UGAAAAAUCUAAUUUUAGUUGUGGCUCUUUCCCUAGUGGCAUUGGUAUCAUCCCAACGACCUUGGCCUCCUUGGAAUCGUCCGGGACCGAGACCACCACCAUUUAGACCACCACCACAAAUUCGGAGACCUUAUGUCCCACCUACUACGGCUCGUGACAAAUGGUGCCGACUAAAUCUAGGACCUGCAUGGGGUGGGCGAUGCUAAGAGGCCAAGAAAACAUCCUUCAUAUAUAAAGCUUAAAUAUUUCAAAAAUACAUAAUCCAGAGCCCUUACGAUUGCUUAAUGGUUUAGGUUCGUUCAAUAAAGAAAACUUAUAAAAUUCCUAAUA
Molecule: long non-coding RNA, 330 nt
Organism: Drosophila bipectinata
Lineage: Eukaryota; Metazoa; Arthropoda; Insecta; Diptera; Drosophilidae
Source: RefSeq, a predicted model, not a curated record